UCCUGGAGAUUCACUCGUAUGGGUGGCAGCGGUAGGGACUAUUGGGCAUUGGGCGAAAGCGGGAAGAAGCGACGCCGCGUGGGUGAUGAAGGCGUUGGAGUCGUAAAGGUCGGUAGGAGGGAACGAAUGCUUUGGGGGUUAACAGCCCCGGAAAGUGACGGUACCCUCAAAGGAAGCACGGGCUAACUACGUGCCAGCAGCCGCGGUAAUACGUAGGGUGCGAGCGUUAAUCGGAAUUACUGGGCGUAAAGGGCGUGUAGGCGGAUCUGUAAGUGGGAUGUGAAAUGCCCCGGCUCACCUGGGGACCUGCAUUCCAAACUGCCAGUCUAGAGUAUGGGAGAGGAUGAGGGAAUUCUUGGUGUAGCGGUGAAAUGCGUAGAUAUCAGGAGGAACACCGGUGGCGAAGGCGCUCAUCUGGCCCAAUACUGACGCUGAGGCGCGAAAGCUAGGGGAGCAAACGGGAUUAGAUACCCCGGUAGUCCUAGCCGUAAACGGUGAUCACUAGGUGUCGGAGGCAUCGACCCCUCCAGUGCCGCAGCUAACGCAUUAAGUGAUCCGCCUGGGGAGUACGGCCGCAAGGUUGAAACUCAAAGGAAUUGACG
This 602-nucleotide ribosomal RNA is filed under the name uncultured bacterium. Its description in RNAcentral is "bacterial SSU rRNA". It matches the Rfam family "Bacterial small subunit ribosomal RNA", at positions 323 to 915 of the family's 1533-position model. The record is from RNAcentral.